GUAGGUGAACCUGCGGAAGGAUCAUUAUCG
RNAcentral lists this ribosomal RNA (30 nucleotides) under Ceratobasidium sp. Rh090658. Its description in RNAcentral is "partial 18S ribosomal RNA". Lineage: Eukaryota; Fungi; Basidiomycota; Agaricomycetes; Cantharellales; Ceratobasidiaceae. The record is from RNAcentral.